AGAAUUUGAUCUUGGUUCAGGAUGAACGCUGGCGGUGUGCUUAACACAUGCAAGUCGAACGGAGUUUUAAACGGAAGUCCUCGGAUGGAAGUUUAGAAACUUAGUGGCGGACGGGUGAGUAACGCGCGGGUAACCUGCCUCAUACAGGGGGAUAACAGUCGGAAACGAUUGCUAAAACCGCAUAACAUAGCGAAACCGCAUGAUUUUUGCUAUCAAAUAUUUAUAGGUAUGAGAUGGGCCCGCGUCUGAUUAGCUAGUUGGUGGGGUAAUGGCCUACCAAGGCGACGAUCAGUAGCCGGCUUGAGAGAGUGACCGGCCACAUUGGGACUGAGACACGGCCCAAACUCCUACGGGAGGCAGCAGUGGGGAAUAUUGGACAAUGGGGGAAACCCUGAUCCAGCCGACGCCGCGUGAGUGAAGAAGUAUUUCGGUAUGUAAAGCUCUAUCAGCAGGGAAGAUAAUGACAGUACCUGACUAAGAAGCCCCGGCUAACUACGUGCCAGCCGCGGC
RNAcentral lists this ribosomal RNA (510 nucleotides) under uncultured bacterium. Its description in RNAcentral is "bacterial SSU rRNA". It matches the Rfam family "Bacterial small subunit ribosomal RNA", at positions 8 to 518 of the family's 1533-position model. The record is from RNAcentral.